Molecule: ribosomal RNA, 470 nt
Filed under: uncultured bacterium
Lineage: Bacteria
Description: bacterial SSU rRNA
Rfam family: Bacterial small subunit ribosomal RNA
Source: RNAcentral
GAUCCUACGGGGAGGCAGCAGUGGGGGAAUAUUGCACAAUGGGCGCAAGCCUGAUGCAGCCAUGCCGCGUGUAUGAAGAAGGCCUUCGGGUUGUAAAGUACUUUCAGCAGUGAGGAAGGCAGGUACGUUAAUAGCGUGCUUGUUUGACGUUAGCUGCAGAAGAAGCACCGGCUAACUCCGUGCCAGCAGCCGCGGUAAUACGGAGGGUGCGAGCGUUAAUCGGAAUUACUGGGCGUAAAGCGCAUGCAGGUGGUUUGUUAAGUCAGAUGUGAAAGACCCGGGGCUCAACCUCGGAAUUGCAUUUGAAACUGGCAGACUAGAGUACUGUAGAGGGGGGUAGGAAUUUCAGGUGUAGCGGUGAAAUGCGUAGAGAUCUGAAGGAAUACCGGUGGCGAAGGCGGCCCCCUGGACAGAUACUGACACUCAGAUGCGAAAGCGUGGGGAGCAAACAGGAUUAGAUACCCUGGUAG